CUACGGGAGGCUCCAGUGGGGAAUCUUGGACAAUGGGCGCAAGCCUGAUCCAGCCAUGCCGCGUGAGUGAUGAAGGCCUUAGGGUCGUAAAGCUCUUUCGCCAGAGAUGAUAAUGACAGUAUCUGGUAAAGAAACCCCGGCUAACUCCGUGCCAGCAGCCGCGGUAAUACGGAGGGGGUUAGCGUUGUUCGGAAUUACUGGGCGUAAAGCGCGCGUAGGCGGACUAGUCAGUCAGGGGUGAAAUCCCGGGGCUCAACCCCGGAACUGCCUUUGAUACUGCUAGUCUAGAGUUCGGGAGAGGUGAGUGGAAUUCCGAGUGUAGAGGUGAAAUUCGUAGAUAUUCGGAGGAACACCAGUGGCGAAGGCGGCUCACUGGCUCGAUACUGACGCUGAGGUGCGAAAGUGUGGGGAGCAAACAGGAUUAGAUACCCUAGUAGUC
Molecule: ribosomal RNA, 439 nt
Filed under: uncultured bacterium
Lineage: Bacteria
Description: partial 16S ribosomal RNA
Rfam family: Bacterial small subunit ribosomal RNA
Source: RNAcentral